This 73-nucleotide transfer RNA is filed under the name Ancylostoma ceylanicum. It matches the Rfam family "tRNA". From Rfam's summary of the family: Transfer RNA (tRNA) molecules are approximately 80 nucleotides in length. Their secondary structure includes four short double-helical elements and three loops (D, anti-codon, and T loops). Further hydrogen bonds mediate the characteristic L-shaped molecular structure. tRNAs have two regions of fundamental functional importance: the anti-codon, which is responsible for specific mRNA codon recognition, and the 3' end, to which the tRNAs corresponding amino acid is attached (by aminoacyl-tRNA synthetases). tRNAs cope with the degeneracy of the genetic code in two manners: having more than one tRNA (with a specific anti-codon) for a particular amino acid; and 'wobble' base-pairing, i.e. permitting non-standard base-pairing at the 3rd anti-codon position. The record is from Rfam by way of RNAcentral. Lineage: Eukaryota; Metazoa; Nematoda; Chromadorea; Rhabditida; Ancylostomatidae.
GUCCUGAUGGCUCAAUCGGUAGAGCGUCUGACUAUAAGUCAGGCGGUCGUUGGUUCGAGUCCGGUGGAGGUCU